Molecule: long non-coding RNA, 287 nt
Filed under: Mytilus galloprovincialis (Mediterranean mussel)
Lineage: Eukaryota; Metazoa; Mollusca; Bivalvia; Mytilida; Mytilidae
Source: RNAcentral
GCCGGUCUGGAUUGUGAUAAAAAGAAGCGCAUGCGAUGCAUAAAAUAUAUAAUGUCGUGGCUCAGGGAUGUGUUGAAUUAUAGAGAUGCUUAUGCGGCACAAAGAUAAGAUUAAUUUACCCAAAUGUACUAAGAAUUACCACACAACUUAAAUUUACUUAAAUAUUGAUUUGUUAUCCUGUGCCAGGCAGAUGGCUGAUAUUCUGAGAAGAGACCUUGAUGAAAUGAAGUUUUAUGAGAACAAAAAUUUUGAAAACACGUCGCAGUGUUUAGAUUUUAACAAAAAAU